AGAAUGUUAGGUUAAUUAAACUAAUUAUUUUCAAAAUAAUAGAUGCAUAAAAAUAUGUAUGUUCUG
This 66-nucleotide transfer RNA is filed under the name Halocynthia papillosa. RNAcentral describes it as "transfer RNA-Trp". Lineage: Eukaryota; Metazoa; Chordata; Ascidiacea; Stolidobranchia; Pyuridae. The record is from RNAcentral.